UCUUAUCCCCUGUACGCCGCCCCUGUUCAGAUUUUUUUCAGCGCCCUUAUCUCCUACGCGCGUGCUCAUCGAUCCAUUUCAGCUGCCGCGCGUCCCUGCGGUCUUCCAGCUCCAGCGUCGGCUGCUCCUCCCUGGCCACCCGCGCCCCUUGCUUCUCCCUUCUCACGCUCCCCGUCGAGCUCCCUGGUCGCCGCGCAGUCGAGCUCCCUCAGCUCGCUCCUCCUGUGCCGCGCGCCAGCCCCUGGUUCGGCUCUACUCCUCCCUGCUUGCCGUUCCUAUCCCCCUGCCAUGGAGUCCGUCGUCAGUCCGAGCUCGCCCAUCCUCUGCUCGGUUUCAACUUGGUCGUGCCUGCAGCUUCUCCCAUAGUGAGCUCCCUCCACUGCCCUAGGUUCCCAUGGUGAGCUCCCUCCACUGCCCUAGGUUUGUCAAGCGCUACCUCUACUCCAUCUCUUCCUGCUCGAAUCUUGCUGAUUGGCCCUGCGCAGAUUAUCCUCAUGCCCGACCACGGUACAACAGCAACAGCCAUGAAACCCCUUCGUGUCGCGCCCUCGAUAUGCUCGAUGAAAUACCGCAGCGAGCUCCGCUCCGGAUCUGCGCAGCCCCGGCCUUGUUGUCGACCUCAGUACGAUAAGUGAUCACGUGAUGUGAAGGACUAGAGCUCGGUCGACCACAAGAUGGUGUUAAGUAUUGGUUUCUUCGCAAGGUGAUGCUAAUGAACAAACUUAAGGAUGGACAGACUGAACCAGUGCCAACACACAAGGCUGGUCGCCAAGUGGUCAUCGUCUAACAACACUAACCUAGUGUUAUCCCAGGCAAGCCCCAGUGCAUUUGCCACCUCCUUGCUGUUUUAAAAACAUUUUAUCACUUAUAUGCUGCAUUAGGUGGUAGGAGUUGAAUGGGUAAACCUUUGCUGCAUAACUUCCUUGAAUUAUUGAUUAUCAUCCUUGAUACCUGAUUUGAAAAUCUAGAUAUGCUUAGCCUGCUUAUAGACAAGGAACAAAAUAUUUUGAUGUAUGAAUCAUGUUUUUACAAAGAAAAAGGGGCUGGAAUGAUGAAGGUAUCAAAGGUCUUGAUGACUUCAUCAUUUCGGUAGGGUACCUCUAAUAGGUUCCAGAUUUUCAGAAUUAUUUUAAUAUGAGACCAGACGUUGAGCAGGAAAGGUCGCCCGUUUGUGUCGAUUAAGGACCGUACCGAAAGUAGGCUUGCUGAUCUAGGACCCUUUAACUGGCCACAUGCCUCAUCAUGGGUAAGCUUAGCCUCGGUCGGACCAAUACCAGAAAGGCCGGCCUGCAAUGGGAGUGGAGAGAUGGCGAGAGUAUCGUGUAUCCACCUGGCAAGAGGCUGGAUGGUGGGGUACUGAGCUCUCGGUUAGCGGGGACCUGUUCUGGUCUUAAGAAACCCGUGGGCGAGUUGACAUAUGCAAGGGUUAAGUGCUACAUAUGUCGUGUGGUUGGAGAUCCUCAGCUGAGUAUUAAUCGAUUCGGAUCGCUGUUACUUCUCGGAUAUGAAGACUAGAUCACUGCCCUGCAUCAUAAUUAACAAGUGAAACUAAAGAUGUUAAAAUGAAGCUAGUGUAGAACAAUUGAAUGCUCUAGAUUAGGCAAAUCUAGAUUCAGGAAAAGUACUUAAUUUGUGAAGUAAAAGUUGGCAUAAGGAUCCACUACUAGUAAGCUUUUCUGCAAAAACGAGUCUUUGAAAUUUGAUGAGCUUUACCUUGAUUCCCAACAAACCAGCAUAUCCUUGAGAGUCUUUUCUUUAGUCGGGUAAGUCUUGCUGAGUAAUUGCGUACUCAGGGCUUUAUUCCCUAUUGUUUUUCAGGUUAUAAGUUUGUUCUGUUGUGGAUAGUGUGGAUGGUGCUAAGUGCCGGUGGGCUCGGCCUUUUUAUAUAAGUAUAUCACAUCUUUAGCUUCUUUAUUGAGGAUUGUCAAUUAAGCUAGCAUGUAUUUUAAAAACUAUAAAUAUUUUAUUCAUUUUAAAUUAUAAUUCUUUUGAAUCACUCUCUUUUGUAAUCACUCCGAUAAUUGUAUAAUGUAAACUUAUUGUAACA
Zea mays is the source of this 2047-nucleotide long non-coding RNA. RefSeq lists it as uncharacterized. The record is from RefSeq and is a predicted model, not a curated record. NCBI's taxonomy places the organism in Eukaryota, Viridiplantae, Streptophyta, Magnoliopsida, Poales, Poaceae. The transcript has 2 exons.